UGGGGGAUAUUGCACAAUGGGCGAAAGCCUGAUGCAGCGACGCCGCGUGGGGGAUGAAGGCCUUCGGGUUGUAAACUUCUUUUGCUCUGAACAAGGCAUGCUAAUGGGUGUGUUGAGUGUAGGGGUUGAUUAGCGCCGGCUAACUACGUGCCAGCAGCCGCGGUAAUACGUAGGGCGCGAGCGUUGUCCGGAAUUAUUGGGCGUAAAGGGCUUGUAGGUGGCUGGUUGCGUCUGUCGUGAAAGCUCAUGGCUUAACUGUGGGUUUGCGGUGGGUACGGGCUGGCUUGAGUGCAGUAGGGGAGGCUGGAAUUCCUGGUGUAGCGGUGGAAUGCGCAGAUAUCAGGAGGAAUACCGGUGGCGAAGGCGGGUCUCUGGGCUGUUACUGACACUGAGGAGCGAAAGCAUGGGGAGCGAACAGA
RNAcentral lists this ribosomal RNA (419 nucleotides) under bacterium. RNAcentral's name for it is "partial 16S ribosomal RNA". It matches the Rfam family "Bacterial small subunit ribosomal RNA", at positions 355 to 776 of the family's 1533-position model. The record is from RNAcentral.